CAAAAGAAGAGUUUGAUCCUGGCUCAGAAGGAACACUAGUUAUAUGCUUAACACAUGCAAGUCGAACGUUGUUUUCGGGGAGCUGGGCAGAAGGAAUAGAGGCUCCUAGCUAAAGGUAGAUUGUGUCUCCCAUGAGGUGAGAAGAGUUGAGAACAAUGUGGCGAACGUGUAUGUAAUGCGCAGGAAUAUGUUGAACAGUUCAGGCCAAAUCCUGAAGAAAGCUAAAAAGCGCUGUUUGAUAAGCCUAUGUAGUAUUAGGUAGUUGGUCAGAUAAAGGCUGACCAAGCCAAUGAUGCUUAGCUGGUCUUUUCGGAUGAUCAGCCACACUGGGACUGAGACACGGCCUAGACUCCCACGGAGGGCAGCAGUGGGGAAUCUUGGACAAUGGGUGAAAGCCCGAUCUAGCAAUAACGCGUGACUGUAGAAGGGCAAUGCCGCUUGUAAAGCUCUCUAGUCGAGUUCACGAUCAUGACAAGACUCGAGGAAGAAGCCCCGGCUAACUCUGUGCCAGCAGCCGCGGUAAGACGGGGGGGCAGUGUUCUUCGGAAUGACUGGGCAUAAAGGGCACGUAGGCGGUGAAUCGGGUUGUAAGUGAAAUCCGCCAAAAACUGGCGAAAUGCUCUCGAAAUUAAUUCAAUUGAGUGAGACAGAGGAUUGUGGAAUUUCGUGUGUAGGGGUGAAAUUCGGAUAUCUACGAAGGAACGCCAAAAGCGAAUGCAACUCUCUAGGUCCCUACUGACGCUGAGGUGCAACAGCAUGGAGAGCAAACAUGAUUAGAUACCCAGGUAGUCCAUGCCAUAAAUGAUGAGUGUUCGCCCUUGGUCUACGCGGAUCAGAUGCCCAGCUAACGCGUGAAACACUUCACCUGGGAAGAACGGUCGCAAGACCAAAACUUAAAGGAAUUGACGGGGGCCUGCACAAGCGGUGGAGCAUGUGUUUUAAUUCGAUACAACGCGCAAAACCUUACCAGCACUUGAUUUAUGAACAAGAAAACAUGUCCUUAACGGGAUGGUCCUUACUUUAAUACAGGUGCUGCAUGGCUGUCGUAAGCUCGUAUCGUGAGAUGUUUGGUCAAGUCCUAUAAUGAGCGAACCCCUCAUUUUGUGUUGCUGAAACAUGCGUCCAAGGAGAAAGUCUUAGCAACCGAAGUGAGUCGAGGAGCCAAGUGACGUGGAAGCGCUACUAAUUGAGUGCUAGCACCUACCUGCGCUGUCUGUAAGAAGGUAGCCGCUGCCUUUCGAAGCACUUUUUAUUUCUAGUUAGAGUUGUUUUUUUAUUGCAGCUAGUGUGCUUGACUAAUAAGGUAGAAAAGGCAUUUCUCGCUUGUUUAGUAAGGUCAAAUUUUUGGCCUUAUCUUGCAGGUGAUGACGACGUCGAUUUCACGGCGGAGAAAGACUCAGCAUUCAGGUGAGCCACCCGGUGGUGUGGUACGUAGUGGGUUUAGUAUGCCCCGCUCAAACAAACGGCUCCAAAACAAACAAAAAGGUGUGUACCGCACUAACGCAAGACUACCAGUGCUAUACUACAGGAAGGUGGGGAUGACGUCAAGUCCGCAUGGCCCUUAUGGUCUGGGCCACACACGUGCUACAAUGGCAUUUACAAUGGGAAACAAGGCUGUAAGACGGAGCGAAUCCAAAAAGAUUGCCUCAGUUCGGAUUUUUCCCUGUAACUCGAGAACAUGAAGUUGGAAUCGCUAGUAAUUAUGGAUCAGCAUGCCGCGGUGAAUAUGUACCCGGGCCUUGUACACACCGCCCGUCACACCCUGGGAAUUUGUUUUGCCCGAAGCAUCGGACCAAUGAUUACCCAUGACUUUUGUGGCACACUAGUGCCACAAAGGCCUUUGGUGGUCUUAUUGGCGUAUACCAUGGUGGGGUCUUCGACUGGGGUGAAGUCAUAACAAGGUAGCCGUAGGGGAACUUGUGGCUGGAUUAAAUCUUUC
Molecule: non-coding RNA, 1939 nt
Organism: Solanum tuberosum (potato)
Lineage: Eukaryota; Viridiplantae; Streptophyta; Magnoliopsida; Solanales; Solanaceae
Source: Rfam